RNAcentral lists this ribosomal RNA (320 nucleotides) under uncultured Prevotella sp. RNAcentral describes it as "bacterial SSU rRNA". It matches the Rfam family "Bacterial small subunit ribosomal RNA", at positions 28 to 339 of the family's 1533-position model. Lineage: Bacteria; Pseudomonadati; Bacteroidota; Bacteroidia; Bacteroidales; Prevotellaceae. The record is from RNAcentral.
GAUGAACGCUAGCUACAGGCUUAACACAUGCAAGUCGAGGGGCAUCAUGGAGUUUGCUUGCAAACUCUGAUGGCGACCGGCGCACGGGUGAGUAACGCGUAUCCAACCUUCCCUAUACUAGAGAAUAGCCCGGCGAAAGUCGGAUUAAUACUCUAUGUUGUAUUUCGAGGACAUCUGAAGAAUACCAAAGGUUUACCGGUAUAGGAUGGGGAUGCGUCUGAUUAGGUUGUUGGCGGGGUAACGGCCCACCAAGCCGACGAUCAGUAGGGGUUCUGAGAGGAAGGUCCCCCACAUUGGAACUGAGACACGGUCCAAACUCC